Molecule: RNA transcript, 1767 nt
Organism: Vigna angularis (adzuki bean)
Lineage: Eukaryota; Viridiplantae; Streptophyta; Magnoliopsida; Fabales; Fabaceae
Gene name: 26S proteasome non-ATPase regulatory subunit 12 homolog A
Exons: 12
Source: RefSeq, a predicted model, not a curated record
AUGAAGGCGAACUUAGACGCGGCGAUAGAGCAAUUGCUGAACGUGGAGAAGCAGAUGAGACUCGCCGGUGAAGUGGCAGGAACGAGAAAGGCGGUCACUGACAUUCUGCAGCUCUGCUUCGAUGCGCGAGCCUGGAAAACCCUCAACGACCAGAUUGUCGUUUUGUCGAAACGCCGGGGCCAGCUUAAACAGGCUGUAACAGCUAUGGUACAGCAAGCUAUGCAAUAUAUUGAUGAGACACCAGAUGUUGAAACUCGCAUAGAACUCAUCAAAACAUUAAACAGUGUGUCUGCAGGGAAAAUAUACGUGGAAAUAGAGAGAGCACGAUUGAUCAAGAAACUUGCAAAGAUCAAGGAAGAUCAAGGGCAUAUAGCUGAAGCUGCUGAUUUGAUGCAAGAAAUUGCGGUUGAAACUUUUGGUGCCAUGGCCAAGACUGAGAAGAUUGCAUUCAUUCUCGAACAAGUUCGUUUGUGUCUGGACCGUGAGGAUUAUGUUCGUGCACAAAUACUUUCUAGAAAAAUUAGUCCAAGAGUAUUUGAUGCCGAUACAUCUAAGGAAAAGAAAAAGCCUAAAGAAGGUGAUAAUGUUGUUGAAGAGGCCCCUGCAGAUAUACCCUCUUUGCUGGAGUUGAAGCAGAUCUACUAUGAGCUAAUGAUUAGGUAUUAUUCCCACAAUAAUGAUUAUCUUGAGAUUUGCCGUUGCUACAAAUCAAUAUAUGAGAUUCCAUCUGUCAAAGAAGACCCUGCAAAGUGGACUCCUAUCCUAAGGAAAAUAUGCUGGUACUUGGUUCUAGCACCACAUGAUCCAAUGCAGUCAAGCCUUCUGAAUUCCACUCUGGAGGAUAAGAAUCUAUCUGAGAUUCCAAGCUUCAAGUUACUUUUGAAACAGCUGAUUACCAUGGAAGUUAUCCAAUGGACAACUCUAUGGGAUACAUAUAAGAACGAUUUUGAGAAUGAGAAAGCUUCCGGGGAAUCUUUGGGUGAAAAAGCAGCAGAGGAUCUGAAGCAACGAAUAAUUGAACAUAACAUUCUUGUUGUUUCAAAAUACUACGCAAGAAUUACCUUGAAGAGACUUGCAGAGCUUUUGUGUCUCAGUGUGCAGGAAGCUGAGAAGCAUCUUUCAGAUAUGGUAGUGUCUAAGGCGCUGGUGGCAAAGAUUGAUAGGCCAAUGGGAAUAGUCUGUUUCCAAACCGCAAAGGAUAGCAAUGAUAUUCUUAACUCAUGGGCAGCAAACCUGGAUAAACUUCUUGAUCUUGUGGAGAAGAGUUGUCAUCAAAUACACAAGGAAACCAUGGUCCAUAAAGCUGUGUUGAAGGUUUAAGAAGAUCUAUAUCAGCAGUUACAAUCACAGGGGCACUCUAAUAUAGACGUGAUUUUGUACUGAAGUUGCAUAUUUCAGGAAUCUUUUUAAAUCGUCACCGACCGAGUUGCUGCGUGCAAUGCAUCUAUUGUUCGAGUACGUAAAUUUGGGGAUCUUCGAAGGCUACGUCGGUGGAUGAGUUUCGGGGGAAGAUAGUAUUAAACUCCCACUUUGUUGUUUGGAUUAGAAAAAGAAGGGAAUAAGUAAUUAUCAAAUUAUCAUGAAGCGAUCUAGUCUUUUGGUUAACGGCUCUUUGUUGCAUAAUACUUUUUUGUGGUGCUAUCACGGAUAUGAAUUUUUUGUAAACGUGUGAUGUGGCUUUGCAUCAUUUCCUCGUUUGGAGAAUACAUCAGUUAUAAAUAAAUUGAAAUUACCCUGCGCAGACGGAAGUCAUAAUUAAAUUGGAAA